This 497-nucleotide ribosomal RNA is filed under the name uncultured bacterium. RNAcentral's name for it is "partial 16S ribosomal RNA". It matches the Rfam family "Bacterial small subunit ribosomal RNA", at positions 28 to 507 of the family's 1533-position model. The record is from RNAcentral.
GAUGAACGCUGGCGGCGUGCCUAAUACAUGCAAGUCGAGCGAACAGACGCGGAGCUUGCUCCUCUGACGUUAGCGGCGGACGGGUGAGUAACACGUGGAUAACCUACCUAUCAGAGGGGGAUAACUUUGGGAAACGGGAGCUAAUACCGGAUAAUAUAUUGAACCGCAUGGUUCGAUAGUGAAAGAAGGCUUUGGUGUCAGCUAUAGGUUGAACCGCGGCGCAUUAGCUAGUUGGGUAGGUAAAGGCUUACCAAGGCGACGAUGCGUAGCCGACCUGAGAGGGUGAUCGGCCACACUGGAACUGAGACACGGCCCAGACUCCUACGGGAGGCAGCAGUAGGGAAUCUUCCGCAAUGGACGAAAGCCUGACGGAGCAACGCCGCGUGAGUGAUGAAGGUCUUCGGAUCGUAAAACUCUGUUAUUAGGGAAGAACAAAUGUGUAAGUAACUAUUCACGUCUUGACGGUACCCAAUCAGAAAGCCACGGCUAACUACGUG